CUACGAAAGGUGCAAGCGUUGUUCGGAUUUACUGGGCGUAAAGAGAGUGUAGGUUGUUUAUUAAGUCGGAUGUGAAAUCCCGGGGCUCAACCUCGGAACUGCAUUCGAUACUGGUAGACUAGAGUUCGGGCGGGGUAAGCGGAAUUCCGUGUGUAGCAGUGAAAUGCGUAGAUAUACGGAGGAACACCUGAGGCGAAGGCGGCUUACUGGACCGAUACUGACACUGAGACUCGAAAGCGUGGGUAGCAAACAGGAUUAGAAACCCUAGUAGUCC
This 274-nucleotide ribosomal RNA is filed under the name uncultured bacterium. RNAcentral describes it as "partial 16S ribosomal RNA". It matches the Rfam family "Bacterial small subunit ribosomal RNA", at positions 523 to 796 of the family's 1533-position model. The record is from RNAcentral.